ACGGGAGGCAGCAGUGGGGAAUAUUGCACAAUGGGCGCAAGCCUGAUGCAGCCAUGCCGCGUGUAUGAAGAAGGCCUUCGGGUUGUAAAGUACUUUCAGCAGUGAGGAAGGUGGAUAUGUUAAUAGCAUAUUCAUUUGACGUUAGCUGCAGAAGAAGCACCGGCUAACUCCGUGCCAGCAGCCGCGGUAAUACGGAGGGUGCGAGCGUUAAUCGGAAUUACUGGGACGUAAAGCGCAUGCAGGUGGUUUGUUAAGUCAGAUGUAGAAACGCCCGGGGCUCAACCUACGGAAUUGCUAUUUAGAAACUGGACAAACUAGAGUACUGUAGAGGGGGUAGAAUUUCAGGUGUAGCGGUGAAAUGCGUAGAGAUCUGAAGGAAUACCGGUGGCGAAGGCGGCCCCCUGGACAGAUACUGACACUCAGAUGCGAAAGCGUGGGGAGCAAACAGGAUUAGAUACCCUGGUAG
RNAcentral lists this ribosomal RNA (466 nucleotides) under uncultured bacterium. RNAcentral's name for it is "bacterial SSU rRNA". It matches the Rfam family "Bacterial small subunit ribosomal RNA", at positions 341 to 793 of the family's 1533-position model. The record is from RNAcentral.